RNAcentral lists this ribosomal RNA (2274 nucleotides) under human gut metagenome. RNAcentral's name for it is "bacterial LSU rRNA". It matches the Rfam family "Bacterial large subunit ribosomal RNA", at positions 14 to 2302 of the family's 2925-position model. The record is from RNAcentral.
AGGGCAUACGGUGGAUGCCUAGGCGCCAAGAGCCGAAGAAGGACGCGGUAAGCUGCGAAAAGCCACGGGGAACUGCAAGCAAGUAUUGAUCCGUGGAUAUCCGAAUGGGGAAACCCGGCCAUCGUCAUGGAUGGUCACCCGCAAGGGAGGGAACCUGGGGAACUGAAACAUCUAAGUACCCGGAGGAAGAGAAAUCAAACGAGAUGCCCACAGUAGCGGCGAGCGAAGAGGGCAGAGCCCAAACCGAGAAGCUCCGGCUUUUCGGGGUUGAGGACCGGCAGAAUCGAAGUCAGGCCUAGUUGAAUUACCUGGAAAGGUAAGCGAGAGAGGGUAAAAGCCCCGUAGACGAAAGGCAGAGCAGAGAGGCCGAGAUCCAGAGUACCACGAAGCACGAGGAAUUUUGUGGGAAGCAGGGGGGACCACCCUCCAAGGCUAAAAACUACUUGGCGACCGAUAGCGCAUAGUACCGUGAGGGAAAGGUGAAAAGAACCCCGGGAGGGGAGUGAAAUAGUACCUGAAACCGUAUGUCUACAAGCAGUCGAAGCGAAAGCGACGGCGUGCCUAUUGAAGAAUGAACCAACGAGUUAUCUGCACUAGCGAGGUUAAGUGGAAGACACGGAGCCGCAGCGAAAGCGAGUCUUAAGAGGGCGCUAGUUAGUGUAGGUAGACCCGAAACCGCAGUGAUCUACCCAUGUCCAGGUUGAAGCGCAGGUAAAAUUGCGUGGAGGACCGAACCGGUGAGCGUUGAAAAGCUUUCGGAUGAGAUGUGGGUAGGGGUGAAAUUCCAAUCGAACGCGGAGAUAGCUGGUUCUCCCCGAAAUAGCUUUAGGGCUAGCCUGAGGUAGUAAGUAUAGGCGGUAGAGCACUGAUCGGGCUAGGGGCCGUAAAGGUUACCGAACCCUGUCAAACUCCGAAUGGAUAUACUGUAGAGCCUUGGAGUCAGACUACGAGUGAUAAGAUCCGUGGUCAAAAGGGAAACAGCCCAGACCACCAGCUAAGGUCCCCAAUGUCGUACUAAGUGGAAAAGGAUGUGGGGUUUCAUAAACAACCAGGAUGUUGGCUCAGAAGCAGCCACCAUUUAAAGAGUGCGUAAUAGCUCACUGGUCGAGAGACCCUGCGCCGAAGAUUCCCGGGGCUAAAGUACGAAACCGAAGCUGUGGCUGUAUACGUAAAGUAUACGGGGUAGGGGAGCGUUCCCAUAGGGUAGAAGUCGAACUGGAAGGUUCGGUGGACUUGUGGGAAGUGAGAAUGUUGGUAUGAGUAGCGAAAAGAAAGGUGAGAAUCCUUUCCACCGAAAGCAUAAGGAUUCCUGAGCAACGAUCGUCGUCUCAGGGUAAGUCGGGACCUAAUCCGAGGCAGAGAGCGUAGGAGAUGGACAACUGGUUGAUAUUCCAGUACCGGUAGUAAUUGUUUGAGCAAUGGAGUGACACAGAAGGGCAGGCAAGCAUGCGAAUGGAAGAGCAUGUGUAAGCGUGUAGGGUGGUGCAUAGGCAAAUCCGUGCACUGAAAGCCUGAGGCGUGAUGCGGAGUGAGCAGAGAUGCGAGCGAAGUUGUUGACCCCACACUGUCGAGAAAAGCUUCUAGUGAGAGAGCUACCGCCCGUACCGUAAACCGACACAGGUAUGCGGGGAGAGAAUCCUAAGGUGCGCGGGAGAACCCUCGUUAAGGAACUCGGCAAAAUGUACCCGUAACUUCGGGAUAAGGGUAGCCACUGUUGUGAAGUCCCAUGCGGAUGGAGCAUAGAGUGGUCGCAGAGAAGAGGCCCAAGCGACUGUUUACCAUAAACACAGGUGCCUGCUAAAGCGAAAGCUGACGUAUAGGUGCUGACACCUGCCCAGUGCCGGAAGGUUAAGGAAGGAUGUUCGGAUUAGUCCAAAGCAUUCGACUGAAGCCCCGGUGAACGGCGGCCGUAACUAUAACGGUCCUAAGGUAGCGAAAUUCCUUGUCGGGUAAGUUCCGACCCGCACGAAAGGUGUAACGAUUUGGGCACUGUCUCAACGAGGGACCCGGUGAAAUUGAAAUACCUGUGAAGAUGCAGGUUACCCGCGACUGGACAGAAAGACCCCAUGGAGCUUUACUGUAACCUGACAUUGGGUUUUGAUACAUUACGUACAGGAUAGGUGGGAGGCUUGGAAAGUUGGACGCUAGUCUGACUGGAGCCGACGUUGGGAUACCACCCUUGAUGUAUUGAAAUUCUAACCGCGAGAGUAACGAAAUCCGGGACAGUGUCAGGCGGGCAGUUUGACUGGGGCGGUCGCCUCCGAAAGAGUAACG